CCCUUAGAUGUUCUGGGCCGCACGCGUGCUACACUGAGUAAUUCAAUGGGUAAGGGAACGCUAGAGCAUUACCUAAUCUUGAAAUUUGCUCGUGAUGGGGAUCGACGGUUGCAAUUUUCCGUCGUGAACGAGGAAUACCUUGUAGGAGCAUGUCAUCAUCAUGCGCCGAAUACGUCCCUGCCCUUUGUACACACCGCCCGUCGCUCCUACCGAUUGAGUGAUCCGGUGAGGCUCUGGGACCUGGACGGAAAGAGCGUUUCGCUUGUUCUGUUUGGGAAACUUGGUCGAACCUUAUCAUUUAGAGGAAGGAGAAGUCGUAACA
This 322-nucleotide ribosomal RNA is filed under the name uncultured eukaryote. Its description in RNAcentral is "partial 18S ribosomal RNA". It matches the Rfam family "Eukaryotic small subunit ribosomal RNA", at positions 1470 to 1796 of the family's 1831-position model. The record is from RNAcentral.